GGCCUUUUUGCUGGUUUUCUUACUAACAGAGAGUUCAUAAACCAGGAUCUUCUUCGGCCUCCAAGGAAAAGUUAAGAGUCAGCAGAAGAUUCUUCCCAGGUCAAGUCCAGCCACUAGCGCCUCUCUCUCCGAAUCUUAGCCUGUCACCCCCUCACGACUCCUCGAAUGGCCCCUCCACUUCUACCCGGCUCGACAUGUCCACGACCACCACCGAAGCCGAGGAUUUCCCGCCCCCAACAUUUCUAAUUCUUAACA
Molecule: long non-coding RNA, 255 nt
Filed under: Pan troglodytes (chimpanzee)
Lineage: Eukaryota; Metazoa; Chordata; Mammalia; Primates; Hominidae
Description: long non-coding RNA NONPTRT011682
Source: RNAcentral